This 440-nucleotide ribosomal RNA is filed under the name uncultured bacterium. Its description in RNAcentral is "partial 16S ribosomal RNA". It matches the Rfam family "Bacterial small subunit ribosomal RNA", at positions 338 to 795 of the family's 1533-position model. The record is from RNAcentral.
CCUACGGGUGGCAGCAGUGGGGAAUAUUGCACAAUGGGGGAAACCCUGAUGCAGCGACGCCGCGUGAGGGAAGAAGGUUUUCGGUACGUAAAGCUCUAUUAUCAGGGAAGAAAAUGACGGUACCUGACUAAUAAGCCCCGGCUAACUACGUGCCAGCAGCCGCGGUAAUACGUAGGGGGCAAGCGUUAUACGGAUUUACUGGGUGUAAAGGGAGCGUAGACGGCAGCGCAAGUCAGAAGUGAAAUCCUAUGGCUUAACCAUGGAACUGCUUUUGAAACUGUGCAGCUAGAGUGCGGGAGAGGUAGGUGGAAUUCUUGGUGUAGCGGUAAAAUGCGUAGAUAUUAGGAGGAACACUCGUGGCGAAGGCGGCUUGCUGGAACGUAACUGACGUUGAGGCGCGAAAGCGUGGGGAGCAAACAGGAUGAGAUACCCUUGUAGUC